AAUACUGGAUAUGAGCCUUCAUCGCAUGGUGGGGGUUGGAAAGAUUUUUUGGUCUGGGAUGGGCUCGCGGCCUAUCAGCUUGUUGGUGAGGUAAUGGCUCACCAAGGCGUCGACGGGUAGCCGGCCUGAGAGGGUGACCGGCCACACUGGGACUGAGACACGGCCCAGACUCCUACGGGAGGCAGCAGUGGGGAAUAUUGCACAAUGGGCGAAAGCCUGANGCAGCAACGCCGCGUGAGGGAUGACGGCCUUCGGGUUGUAAACCUCUUUUAGCAGGGAAGAAGCGAAAGUGACGGUACCUGCAGAAAAAGCGCCGGCUAACUACGUGCCAGCAGCCGCGGUAAUACGUAGGGCGNNNGCGNNNNNNNGAAUUAUUGGGCGUAAAGAGCUCGUAGGCGGUUUGUCGCGUCUGCUGUGAAAUCCCGAGGCUCAACCUCGGGCCUGCAGUGGGUACGGGCAGACUAGAGUGCGGUAGGGGAGAUUGGAAUUCCUGGUGUAGCGGUGGAAUGC
Molecule: ribosomal RNA, 510 nt
Filed under: Microbacterium sp. PCSM37
Lineage: Bacteria; Bacillati; Actinomycetota; Actinomycetes; Micrococcales; Microbacteriaceae
Description: partial 16S ribosomal RNA
Rfam family: Bacterial small subunit ribosomal RNA
Source: RNAcentral